AAAAAGACAAACCAUGGGUUUCCAUGUCCAACGUUUAACUGUCCGUUUUAUAUGCAAUUUUUUUAUAAUUAGUAUUUCCAUUGUUGUUAGAUGAUAAAACAUGAUUAAUACUUUAUGCGUGACUUGUCUUUUUAAUUUUUUUCAUAAUUUUUUUAGAUAAGACGGACGGUCAAACGUUGGACACGGAAAUCCAGGGUUUGUCUUUUU
Non-coding RNA from Oryza barthii, 207 nucleotides. Lineage: Eukaryota; Viridiplantae; Streptophyta; Magnoliopsida; Poales; Poaceae. The record is from Rfam.